ACUGAACGCUGGCGGCAUGCCUUACACAUGCAAGUCGAACGGUAACAGGUCUUCGGAUGCUGACGAGUGGCGAACGGGUGAGUAAUACAUCGGAACGUGCCCGAGAGUGGGGGAUAACGAAGCGAAAGCUUUGCUAAUACCGCAUACGAUCUCAGGAUGAAAGCAGGGGACCGCAAGGCCUUGCGCUCACGGAGCGGCCGAUGGCAGAUUAGGUAGUUGGUGGGAUAAAAGCUUACCAAGCCGACGAGCUGUAGCUGGUCUGAGAGGACGACCAGCCACACUGGGACUGGGACACGGCCCAGACUCCUACGGGAGGCAGCAGUGGGGAAUUUUGGACAAUGGGCGCAAGCCUGAUCCAGCCAUGCCGCGUGCAGGAUGAAGGCCUUCGGGUUGUAAACUGCUUUUGUACGGAACGAAAAGACUCUGGUUAAUACCUGGGGUCCAUGACGGUACCGUAAGAAUAAGCACCGGCUAACUACGUGCCAGCAGCCGCCGUAA
RNAcentral lists this ribosomal RNA (498 nucleotides) under uncultured bacterium. RNAcentral's name for it is "partial 16S ribosomal RNA". It matches the Rfam family "Bacterial small subunit ribosomal RNA", at positions 30 to 523 of the family's 1533-position model. The record is from RNAcentral.